Molecule: ribosomal RNA, 253 nt
Filed under: uncultured bacterium
Lineage: Bacteria
Description: partial 16S ribosomal RNA
Rfam family: Bacterial small subunit ribosomal RNA
Source: RNAcentral
UACGUAGGGUGCGAGCGUUAAUCGGAAUUACUGGGCGUAAAGCGUGCGCAGGCGGUUAGAUAAGUUUGAUGUGAAAUCCCCGGGCUCAACCUGGGAACUGCAUUGAAGACUGUCUGACUAGAGUACGGCAGAGGGGGGUAGAAUUCCACGUGUAGCAGUGAAAUGCGUAGAGAUGUGGAGGAAUACCAAUGGCGAAGGCAGCCCCCUGGGUCGAUACUGACGCUCAUGCACGAAAGCGUGGGGAGCAAACAGG